AGAGUUUGAUCCUGGCUCAGAUUGAACGCUGGCGGCAUGCUUUACACAUGCAAGUCGAACGGUAACAGGGGAGCUUGCUCCCGCUGACGAGUGGCGAACGGGUGAGUAAUGCAUCGGAACGUACCGAGUAAUGGGGGGUAACUAUCCGAAAGGAUGGCUAAUACCGCAUACGAUCUUAGGAUGAAAGUGGGGGACCUUCGGGCCUCACGUUAUUCGAGCGGCCGAUGCCUGAUUAGCUAGUUGGUAGGGUAAAAGCCUACCAAGGCUACGAUCAGUAGCGGGUCUGAGAGGAUGAUCCGCCACACUGGGACUGAGACACGGCCCAGACUCCUACGGGAGGCAGCAGUGGGGAAUUUUGGACAAUGGGGGCAACCCUGAUCCAGCCAUGCCGCGUGUCUGAAGAAGGCCUUCGGGUUGUAAAGGACUUUUGUUAGGGAGGAAAAUUUAUCCAUUAAUACUGGGUAAAGCUGACAGUACCUAAAGAAUAAGCACCGGCUAACUACGUGCCAGCAGCCGCGGUAAUACGUAGGGUGCAAGCGUUAAUCGGAAUUACUGGGCGUAAAGCGAGCGCA
RNAcentral lists this ribosomal RNA (572 nucleotides) under uncultured bacterium. RNAcentral describes it as "bacterial SSU rRNA". It matches the Rfam family "Bacterial small subunit ribosomal RNA", at positions 8 to 573 of the family's 1533-position model. The record is from RNAcentral.